GAUGAAGAACGUAGCGAAAUGCGAUACUUGGUGUGAAUUGCAGAAUCCCGUGAACCAUCGAGUUUUUGAACGCAAGUUGCGCCCAAAGCCAUUAGGUUGAGGGCACGUCUGCCUGGGCGUCACAUAUCGUUGCCCUGUGCCCCAUGCCUAUUGAUAGGCACAGUGCAGGGCGAAUGUUGGCUUCCCGUGAGCUCUUUUGCCUCACGGUUGGCUGAAAACUGAGUCCUUGGUUGGGUGUGUGCCAUGAUAGAUGGUGGUUGUGUGACCCACGAGACCGUUCAUGUGCAGCUCUACCAGAUUUGGCCUCUACGACCCACUUGCGUCCUUGGAUGCUCAUGACGAGACCUCAGGUCAGGCGGGGCUACCCGCUGAAUUUAAGCAUAUCAAUAAGCGGAGGA
Molecule: unclassified non-coding RNA, 398 nt
Filed under: soil metagenome
Description: partial contains 5.8S ribosomal RNA, internal transcribed spacer 2, and large subunit ribosomal RNA
Rfam family: 5.8S ribosomal RNA (bases 1-122)
Source: RNAcentral